RNAcentral lists this ribosomal RNA (925 nucleotides) under uncultured Bacteroidota bacterium. RNAcentral describes it as "bacterial SSU rRNA". It matches the Rfam family "Bacterial small subunit ribosomal RNA", at positions 1 to 917 of the family's 1533-position model. The record is from RNAcentral. Lineage: Bacteria; Pseudomonadati; Bacteroidota.
UGGAUCCAGACUUUGAUUCUGGCUCAGGAUGAACGCUAGCGACAGGCUUAACACAUGCAAGUCGAGGGGCAGCAUAAUUUGUAGCAAUACAGAUUGAUGGCGACCGGCGCACGGGUGAGUAACGCGUAUGCAACUUACCUAUCAGAGGGGGAUAGCCCGGCGAAAGUCGGAUUAAUACCCCAUAAAACAGGGGUCCCGCAUGGGAAUAUUUGUUAAAGAUUCAUCGCUGAUAGAUAGGCAUGCGUUCCAUUAGGCAGUUGGCGGGGUAACGGCCCACCAAACCGACGAUGGAUAGGGGUUCUGAGAGGAAGGUCCCCCACAUUGGUACUGAGACACGGACCAAACUCCUACGGGAGGCAGCAGUGAGGAAUAUUGGUCAAUGGCCGAGAGGCUGAACCAGCCAAGUCGCGUGAAGGAAGAAGGAUCUAUGGUUUGUAAACUUCUUUUAUAGGGGAAUAAAGUGGAGGACGUGUCCUUUUUUGUAUGUACCCUAUGAAUAAGCAUCGGCUAACUCCGUGCCAGCAGCCGCGGUAAUACGGAGGAUGCGAGCGUUAUCCGGAUUUAUUGGGUUUAAAGGGUGCGUAGGUGGUGAUUUAAGUCAGCGGUGAAAGUUUGUGGCUCAACCAUAAAAUUGCCGUUGAAACUGGGUUACUUGAGUGUGUUUGAGGUAGGCGGAAUGCGUGGUGUAGCGGUGAAAUGCAUAGAUAUCACGCAGAACUCCGAUUGCGAAGGCAGCUUACUAAACCAUAACUGACACUGAAGCACGAAAGCGUGGGGAUCAAACAGGAUUAGGUACCCUGGUAGUCCACGCAGUAAACGAUGAUUACUAGGAGUUUGCGAUACAAUGUAAGCUCUACAGCGAAAGCGUUAAGUAAUCCACCUGGGGAGUACGCCGGCAACGGUGCAACUCAAAUGAAUUGACGGA